This is a long non-coding RNA of Dermochelys coriacea (leatherback sea turtle), 3961 nucleotides long. RefSeq lists it as uncharacterized. NCBI's taxonomy places the organism in Eukaryota, Metazoa, Chordata, Testudines, Dermochelyidae. The record is from RefSeq and is a predicted model, not a curated record. The transcript is spliced from 3 exons.
GCAUCCUCUGUGCCCCUCCAUGCGCUUCCCACAGCGAGUCCGCCCAGGGAGGCCGCACUCCCAGCAUGCUCUCGGUGCAGCUGUGGGUUGCUAUACUGCUGCCGUCUAGUGGGGAGGGUGAUAAAGAAACAGCAGAAAAGUUCCCACUCUGCAUCUCUCCACUAUGGUCAGUAACUGCCCCCAGACCUGGAGGAGCUGUCCAGGCCUCAGAGCACCAGGCAGCAUGGUUAACACACAGCAAGGCAGCGUGGUUGCUCUCAGAGGAAAGACAGAGAACAUAGACCCAGUUCCCUCCUUCCUGGCACAGGCAGCCCAGCUUCCCAUGCUCACACGUGAUCCCAGGGCUGACUCACGGGGAGGUGGCUUUCAAGGCUAGCAAUUAGCUUCUGACCUUUAACAGGCCCUGGGACAGAUGCAAACAAGAACACAGUGGGGAACCAGGAGAGCCACAAGCCCCUCUUGGAGCUGGGAAAGGCCCCUCCCAUACCUUGCCAUCCAUCUCACAUCCCCUUCCUCCUCCAUGGUCUGUCUGGGGUGUUGGGAUGGUGUCAAAUUAGUGUGGCCAUACUGAAUGAUGAUGAAUGAAUGGUGUGAGCAUAUGUGACACUCUAUCUUGGGGGAAACACCCUGCACCCCUAUGUUCAUCCUUAUGAUUGUAUGGAAUCCAAUGCAAAGUUUGCCAUGGUGGAUGUCUUCAGAAGGCUCAUGAUGCACUGAGUAUUAUCGUGAUAGUGAUGUUAUAGCUUGUAAUUUCAUGUACAUGAGUUAUGAGGCUGAAAAUGUGCCCUCGUGUCUUAAAACAAGCCCAGGCAAAACUCUCCAGAAACAGAGAGGCAGUUCACACCUCAUCAGGGCGUGUAUGGGACAAACCCAGCCCAGCCUCACAGGAACAAUGGACACUGGCCUAGGCAACAACAAAGGAUCUGUUUGGACUCUGGAGUGAGUCACCCCCUUCUUUUGGUCAGUUUGGGACUGGAAUGAGACAUCACCACCAAGCGACUGAAGCGCUGAUCAAAGGGGAGAGCCUGCCUGAAGAGCAACCAGCCAGCUUGUGGUGAGAAGCAACUAAGCUUAAGCUGUUCCGCAUAUAGAAGAAUUGCUACAGGAUUUAAAAGAACAAGAAGUGGUGGUGGAGUGCCAAAGUCCAUACAAUUCUCUGCUCUGGCCUGUGUGGAAAGUGGAUGGAAGGUGAUGCCUCACAAUUCAUUAUAGAAAAAUCAAUGCAGCUAUAGUCGCUAUGGCACCAAUAGUAGCUAAUCUCCCAGCUAUACUGGGUGGAAUAGCUGCAGCUGCUAAAUGAUUCUCUGUAUUGGAUAUUGCUGUUUCUUUGCCAUUCCAUUAACCCGAGAGUCAGCCUCGAUUUGCUUGUACAUUCCUGAACAAACAGUUGACAUUUCAACGUGUCCCCGGGGGUACCAUGAUGCUCCAGCUACAGCACAUGCACAUGUGACAAGGGUGUGGGAUCAACUCCCUGAUUUGGAUAAGCCGUGGGUUGCUUCUUAUGUGGAUGACAUACCGAUAAUAGCUGUUCCCAGGAGGAGUGUAAACAUCUAACUAAGCUGGUCCUGGCAGUAGGGGAGAAAACAGGUUUUAAAUUAUCUUGGGACAAGGCACAGCUGGUACAACAAGAAGUUGAAUACUUAAGUAUAUCUUGGAACAGUGGUAAAAGCAUUAUUAUUAAUUAUGGGAAUCCAACAAAAAUGGCAUAUAGUCUACCACCCACAGCGUGCAGGAAAAGUGGAAAGGAAGGAUAGAAAAAUAAAAACAGCCUUGACCAAGCAAAUUCAAACACAAGGCUGAGCCUGGGAAACUGCUUUACCCACAAUCCUGAUGACCAUGAGAGCCUUGGGACAAGCUGAAAGGAAAUACUCACCUUUUGAGCUAAUGACAGGUCGAGCUAGGAGGACUCCUGAAUUCCUAUUCCCACCUAGAAAACAGAUACCUGAAUGGGUGCGAAAGAAAUGGGAAAUUGGAAUAGAAAGGAGGUAACCUCACCAUGAAUUUACCGUGGAAAAAUAGUUGGUGGGGAUUAUAUGAAAUAAACCAAGAUAUAUGUUGGCAUCGAAAGGAAAAGGGUAAUGUAACAAUAAGCAACCAAACCUGGUUUAUGGACUAAGGGAUGUGGUACACUACUGGAGAUAUAACUCAUUUUCAGUACAAACAAUAUCAAUGGCACCCUCAAAUGACUAAAACCUUUAUGACUCACCCUAAAUUAACAUUGCCAAAUUUGAGGGAAAUAGAGUGGAUUGAUACAGAUUGGGAUAUGGAGAUGCAAACUAAUCAAGGCACGCUGGACCAAAUAGAACGGUCAACUAAACUAAUAAUAUCUGUAAAAGGCAUGCUUGCUCGAAAGUAGAAAAUUGUUGAAAAAGCUGUAGAAAAAAAAUCUCAAAUGUGUGCUUGGUAUGAUGUAUGUCAAGUCACAACAUGGAAUGGAAUUAAAUGGUCAAUGUUAUUUCUGGAACUGCCAUAUUAUUCCUUGUAUGUUUCUGUUGUGGAUAUCAGAUGUGUGAGCAAUACAAGGAAAUGCAAGCUUUGUGAAAAUUUAUAAGAUUGAGUUGUUGGAUUAUGCUGCUAAUCAUCGUAAAAUAAUGCUUUAAAUUUUAUAGAAACCAGAAAAGGAGACACAUGAUCUAAUAGUUAGUGUACAAAUUGCAGGUAUGAUUGAUGUGAUAUUACAAUUAUCUUUGGUAAUUGAAUAUUGAAUGGGGCACUGUUGGGAUGCGCCAAAUUGGUGUGGCCAGGCUGAAUGAAUGGUGUGAGUUUAACUUAACAUGUCGUAAACAUGGCUGAAGGGCUGCAGAGGAUCCUGGGAGCAGGGUCCCUUUAAGCAGAUUUGAUAAAGGACUGGCAAAGUCUGCAUGUAUAAUCAAUAUUGAACCUACUGGUCAGCAAAUAUGGGCCCAUGCAAAAGUCAAUAUCACAUGUAUAAAGUUCCAGCAUGGAGCACAGGUUGAUCUGGUUGUAGUGACCUUACAGCAAGGAGAGGCAGUGAAUGACAGGAUGCGUGAGUAAACGUGGGGUGAUUUUCGUUCGGUACCACCACCACCCAGCCCCUUCUAAAAUACUAAUCAGAUAAAAUUAGUAACCACACACCCACUGGGCAUGCUUUUAAGACAUGUGACUCCUUUGAGGAAAAAGAGUAAGAAUCAAGUAAAGUAAAUUACUGUGGUUGGGAUUCCGUAAUUGACGCUUGAAGAAGCAAUGAGCCAGACAGAGUAGCCAAACCUCUGCUCCGUGGGCUUGAGUAGGACUGUGAUCCACAGAGGUCUCAAGGCAGAAGGCCUUGUCUCCAGGAAAUCUGAGACAAACCAGAGGGCUGAGAAUAACAGACCGGCAGAGAAGAAGCCAUCUAUAAAAUGGUAACCAUCUUCUCUGUUUGCCAAGCAAAAACUGCAUGAGGCUAGUGCAGGGCCUGUUUGUGUAUGUUUGUGAAAGAGAGACUCGUUAAGAGGAAUGUAUAACUCUUAAUAUCUAACAUAAGAGUUAUGUGCUUAAUAUAACCCUUUAUCGCUUGUGUAAUUCCUUCUCAAUAAACUGCUGUAUAUUGAAGGUAAUUACUGUGGACCUUUUUCACUGGUAUGAGUAAUCUUCUCCACCGGGAGCCAGUAAAGGUCCAUUUCAGGGGUAGUAGCGCCCCCUUUUGUCAACAUGGGGGCUACCCUGUCCCCUCCCUGAUCAGAGUCCCCUCCUGGGAACGCUCAGCACCCUCCAUUCUCAUUGUCUUCUGAGGGCAUCCAGCACCAUGCAGGAUUGGGCCUCAGCUUCCCUGCCGUGGCAGAUCCAGGAGCACCGAGUUCCCAUUAAGCUAAGAGAAGUAAAGGCAUGGAAGUUAUUUCAGGGAACUCCUCCAUGCCUUCCUUCCCCCAUUGUCUCAGCACCUUCCUGGAACAGACACAAGAAAAGCAGCCCAGCUUUCCAAACACCAACAGCCCAAGGCCGCCAGUGAAUUAACCCAGCA